GCAACUCGCCUGCAUGAAGUUGGAAUUGCUAGUAAUCGCGAAUCAGAAUGUCGCGGUGAAUACGUUCCCGGGCCUUGUACACACCGCCCGUCACACCAUGAGAGCCGAUAACACCCGAAGCCUGUGAGCUAACCGUAAGGGGCAGCAGUCGAAGGUGGGGUUGGUGAUUGGGGUGAAGUCGUAACAAGGUAAC
RNAcentral lists this ribosomal RNA (193 nucleotides) under uncultured bacterium. RNAcentral describes it as "partial 16S ribosomal RNA". It matches the Rfam family "Bacterial small subunit ribosomal RNA", at positions 1307 to 1500 of the family's 1533-position model. The record is from RNAcentral.